RNAcentral lists this non-coding RNA (21 nucleotides) under Caenorhabditis elegans. Lineage: Eukaryota; Metazoa; Nematoda; Chromadorea; Rhabditida; Rhabditidae. The record is from RNAcentral.
UUUUGACAGUAUACGAUAAAU